Molecule: unclassified non-coding RNA, 325 nt
Filed under: uncultured fungus
Lineage: Eukaryota; Fungi
Description: partial contains 5.8S ribosomal RNA, internal transcribed spacer 2, and large subunit ribosomal RNA
Source: RNAcentral
AACGCAUAUUGCACUCUCUGGUAUUCCGGAGAGUAUGCCUGUUUCAGCAUCAUCAAGCAUGUUCAUGCUGACUUUUUUGUCAGGAUGGAUUUGGGCUGCUUUGCUGAGUUUGGUGGAUUUUUCCUCCUUCAGCUAGCCUGAAAUGAAAAGAAAGAUUUCCCUCAAGAAGGCUGGAAGGCGUGAUAGUUGGCUUUUCAAAGUCAUCACCUUCGCCGAAGGAAGCCUCUUCUGGGUGGGGGAAAAAAAUCUUUUUUUUGCAGGAAUUCUCCAAUACAAAUUUUUAAAUCUUGAUCUGAAAUCAGGCAGGACUACCCGCUGAACUUAA